RNAcentral lists this long non-coding RNA (2320 nucleotides) under Ananas comosus (pineapple). Its description in RNAcentral is "long non-coding RNA (ACOM_LNC017758)". The record is from RNAcentral. Lineage: Eukaryota; Viridiplantae; Streptophyta; Magnoliopsida; Poales; Bromeliaceae.
AAAGGGAGAGAGAGAACUUCCCUUUCUCUCUCUAGAUCUCUCCCAAAAUGGAUGGAUUUGGUGGAGAAGCAAGCUUGGAAGUUGAUCUUCAUCUCCUUCAUCUUCUUCCUCUCCAUUGGAGCUUGCUUGAGAGGUAAGCUUCAAACCCCGUUAAUGGUAGAAUUGUAGGGCUUCAAUUAUAUGCUCUAGAAAUGGGUUUAAUGGAAUCCUAGGAUGUUAAAUGAAUGUAUAUUGCAUGAAUCUAGUUCCAAUUUGGGUAUUCUUGCAAUAGUAAACACCUAGAGCUCUAAAAUGCAAAUUUUGCUACUAGUAGGGUUUGAUCUCGUUUGACCCUCCGUAAACUUAAUUGUUAGGUAAACGAACACGUUGGCGAAGACGGUUCGGUGAUUCGUCGAGCCGGUGCGAAGUUAUUAAAGAAACGGAUGUUUAGGCUUCGUUUCCGCCUGGAGGGCCGAGGCGACGUCGUAAAAUCAUGGAAUUGGAUUUGAGGCACCGUAACAACAAAACGAAGACCUUUUUUGCCCAAGGCUACGAAGCAAUGCACGGUUGGUGCGCAAUUGCAAGUUCUGACGGAACCGAGCACCGGAUGCCGCGGGAGGCCGAUUGCAAGUGUCGACAAGCAAUCGGAAUGCAAUAACAGGUGGGUUGUGCUUACCGAAGCGGCUAGGUCGCCUUCAUGUCGAAGAAAAAUAUGAUUUCCUAGUUGAUGAAUAUAAUGGGUUGAAUACUAUAUGGUGCAUAUGAUGUGAAGAUUCGGUAAAUGCAUAUAAUGUGAGAAAUGUAUAUUGCAUGAUAAUUGCAUAUGAAUAUAAUGCAUGCUAGUUGAUAAUGACAAAUUAAUAUGUUGAAUGUUAGAUGAAAGUAUGAACUAAAUGUUAGAGAGAUGCAUGAAAGUGAUGUUGUAUGAAUGCAUAGGCUAUAUUAUGCAAGUUGGAACAUAUGCAUGUUAAUGUAUUUGUGGACUAUGUUGAGUAACAUAUGCUAAUUAACAUAUGCUUGUUGACUUGGGUCUAAAACUCUUGGAUGAUUAGAAAACUCGACAUUGGAAAUACAAAUGUAGUAUUAAUAUCAUGAUAUGGUUUGAAUUCCUACAAUGGGAUGAUAAAUGUGGAUAAGACCUAGGUAAAUGACAACCUAGAGAUUUUGUACAAGUAGUGCAUCGAGAACACUUGAAUUAUGACAAGUGGCAUGUAGUUAAUGUGAACCUAUGACGAGUGGCAUAUAUGAAUCUUAGUGUAGCUGAAACACUAGAUUAAUGAGUAUAGAAACCUAUUGGUUCUAUGUUGAUGCUAUCCUUAGUUGAUAGGAUGUUCCCAGUUUAUGUGGAUUUGGAUCGAGCUCACAUAGCCUGUCUGCGCCUGUUGUGGUCGCCCCACACAGGUAGUGCACUCCGGAGUUGUCACACGAGGAGGGCCAGUGUAGUUGCCCUUGGACCAUUGUAGCUGUCCGCAGGCGUUCUCGGGGGUAGUUGAGUCUAGACUCCUCCCCUAGGAGGUUUAUAUACGUGAGAUUUGAUGCGAGCCUUGAGUUCGCCGAGAGAUUGGGUAACAAGUUAUGAGCUAUAGUGAUUGUCCUAGUUGAGGGGAUUUAAGGUCGAGGUGCAAGUGAGACGUCCUUCGCCUCAUGCCUGGCCUUGUGCGGUACUUCGCAGACGAUCGACUCAAGACCGAGUCGGGCGGUUAGCUUUGUAAAGGUAGAUGAAACUUUAUGACAAAAACGGUAAAUGACAGAAAACCUUAAAUGUCAAUUGGAUGAAAGUAGUAAUCGAUUGAAUUACUAGUUGGUUAUAUAGUUGCAUUAUUGCAUGAUCUUCAUAUUGCAUAUCGCGAGGCAACGCAUGGUAUUGUUAGUUGCAUAAUCUUAUUAUCAUAUCUACUUGUUUAGUGAACUAAUCUACAACUUGCCUCCUUCGGACCUGUCGGUCGAGCUUUUCCCUUGGGUGGCCGUACCCACUGGGAACUAUGGAGUUAGUUCUCACCCCACGUUGCUUUUGGGGUAUUACAGGUUCACACGUGAGCGGCGCGGCGGCGCGAGGCGAGGGCGUAGCUCCGUAGAUAGCGCCCUGCCACAGAGACCAGAGUUAGCCGUACCCCGAGUCGACAUAUCCUAGGGGUAUAGAGAUGAGAAGAUCAAUGUAUCAAAAUUGUAAUGAAUAAUUGAUGUAACAAUUCAUAUUAAGAUGUACUAUACUUGUGAAUAAUGAUGUAGUAGCUUAGAUUGCAUUUGGUUGGAAGUAAAAGUAAAUUGUAAUUGAGAGGUAAAGUAUGAAUGAAUGAAUGUAAUAACUUAGGAUGUAUUUAUGUUGUUUGAUACCUUCCUU